GCAAAUCCCUUUCCAUGUGUGAAAUGUGUUCUUCUGAUACGUAGACAUGGCUGUGCUUCAAGAAACAGCCAGUGUCUCCGAUAUGGACCUGAUACUGUAUGGAUAUUAAAGUUAAGUAGACCUCUCCAAACAAGAAAUGAAGGUUGAAUUCUACAAGUACUCAGCACUCAAAACUCCUAUCAAAAACUGCAGGUGCUCAGCACUCCUUGAAGGCUACUCUUCUGAAGAAUUGUCCCUAAAAAUUUGUGUGCCUUUCUCCUAGCAUUCGCAAAGCUAUAGGUCUUCUCCAGAUGAUUUCCAGAUGAGCACAUGUAACUGGACCCACCCGAAGUUACAUGGCAGACAAGGAAAACACUAAAUAUAAAUAAAAAUGACCAUCUACUAUAUCUAGCCACACAAAUAUGAAGCAAUUAGGAAGAAAUGAAAGCAAUUAUAGAGUUUUGGGAAAUGCAGUCCUCUAUUCUGCAUUUACUAGUCACUGAACUAUUUGAAAGCUUUUCUCCUUUUUAAGUGAGAUUACCCUUGGCUGAAGAAAUUGAAGAGUUCUGAGACACAUCAUCACUGCGCAUUCCUGACUGCGUUAAGACUUCUUAGAUGGAGGCACAACUCCAUUGCCUUCCAUGUCUUCAGUUUUGCCAGAUUUCAUGCAAGAAGGAGAAAUUAAAGACUGAGGGCAAAUCUGUCAGUGAUACAAUAAAUUCUGUCCCUAUAACUAAUGAAAACUCUAAUGAAAGAUGCACAGGUUCCCAUGUGUGUCAAACCAUAUCCUAUGCUUUUGGCAUUGCUCAGGAUAAGCGAACUAACAGCUGGGGAUGAGAGGCAUUUUUUUUCCAAAUUACUCAUUUGCUCAAAAAUUCAGCUUCGGGAGAGCCAAAACUGCUUGCGAAUUCUACCUAAAUUCAUGGACUAAUUUCAAAUGAGACAAGACUGACAAAACAUUUCAGAAAUAUUGAAACAGUUGCUUACAGCAUUUUCAAAAUGAAUUGCUGUGAAGUUCUGGAGAUACUUAAUUUGUGACAGGUUUAAUAACUGAAGGAAAGAUUUAGCUUUGCAGUCACUGAUUUUCUUCUCUGCUUUGUCUCCUGUUCUCUUUGACCCCAGUAUUCUAAUGAUCUUAACUGCGUCCAGAUUCAAAUGUCUCAUCUGCUUCUGCGGAUCUGAAAAUACACUACUUGUCUCUCAUGAUAAAGCCUUCUCCAAUAUGUUAUAAUUAUGCUGGGGGAAGGUUAUUCUCAGCCUUGUUUGUUGAUACUGUUUCACCUUGCAUGUACUAUCCAAAUAUUUAGUAACUCCAGUGAUAAAUGUAUGUAAGAGUGAAUUUUUUGCCUCGUUUUUGGACACUUCUCCUGCAAAUCCAGGACCCAUGUUAUGUAUUCAAACCUACAGCAAGGAUUAAAAUUUCAGACUUGCAUCUUUUAGGUAAGUGUACUGGGUGAUUCGUUAUAUGGGCAGUAUAUAGACAAUAGCAAUACCUUUGUGGUUUGAGCUAUUUGUUUCCUUGUCUGUUCUUAAAAGUGUCCAGAAAUAGAAAGCUCAUUUUUGGUUUUACGUAUCUUGGAAAGGAAAAUGUAUUUCAUAUUCUGUCAUUCCAUUUUGGCCAGCAAAUAAAAAUCCCUAGUCUUUUCAAAAGUUCCAACAAAAGUAUGAAACGGGGAGAACAGAGGAUGAGUGACAAUACCUCCUUCACUGAUGUCUUGUUUGCUGUGCCUGUAGACAGAACUUAAUUCCCCAAAACCUUGAGUCCAUAGAAUAAGAAACAACAUCUAUUAGACAGUUCUGAAGGACAGGCAGCAGAACAGUAGAAGGUAAGGAGACACUUAGAAAGAAAAACGUAUUGUAUGUGAUCUCAAAACACAUGUAAUUAUGUGCCAGGCUUCUUUAUAUUCCCUCAUAUCUAUUUU
This is a long non-coding RNA of Dromaius novaehollandiae (emu), 1901 nucleotides long. RefSeq lists it as uncharacterized. The record is from RefSeq and is a predicted model, not a curated record. NCBI's taxonomy places the organism in Eukaryota, Metazoa, Chordata, Aves, Casuariiformes, Dromaiidae. The transcript has 6 exons.